UGAGUGAUGGUCAGCAGAAAAAAUCAACCCUGAAUAUUCAUUGGAAGGACUGCUGCUGAAGCUGAAGCUCUAAUACUUUGGCUACCUGAUGCGAAGAGCCGACUCACUGGAAAAAGACCUCUAUGCUGGGAAACAUGGAGGGCACACGGAGAACGGGGCAGCAGAGGAUGAGAUGGUUGGAUGGCAUCACUGACACAAUGGACAUGAAUCUGAGCAAACUCUGGGAGAUGGGCAAUGACAGGUAAGUCUGGUGUGCUGCAGUUCAU
This is a long non-coding RNA of Cervus elaphus (red deer), 266 nucleotides long. RefSeq lists it as uncharacterized. Lineage: Eukaryota; Metazoa; Chordata; Mammalia; Artiodactyla; Cervidae. The record is from RefSeq and is a predicted model, not a curated record. The transcript is spliced from 3 exons.